This 188-nucleotide non-coding RNA is filed under the name Synechococcus elongatus. The record is from RNAcentral. Lineage: Bacteria; Bacillati; Cyanobacteriota; Cyanophyceae; Synechococcales; Synechococcaceae.
AAGCAGUGACCAGCCCCAUGCUAUGCUGCUGAGACUUAAGGAUUGGGAAAGUCCGGUGUGAUUCCGGUACUGUGCCGCAACUGUAAUCAACUUUUAGGUAUCACAAUCGGCUAUCAAUGUGAUUGCUCUUGAUAGAGAUAUCUAGAAGCCCAUGGAGUCAGAAUGCCAGCCUUGAGGAGUGUCGAAAA